UGUAAGACAAGCAACCCUAGAGAAAGAAGCGGCUGUCACAAAGGCCAGACCCAAAUGCCAUGUUAAGAGAUGGAUGAAGACUAGGAACUGUAGAGAAGGGUAGAACCAGUGUUAACUUCAGCUGAUGUACAUGCUUCUGCCAAAUAAAACUGCACAGCAGUAAAACAGGCAGAGAAGAAAGAAUCAACAGCAAAGGUAGAACUGGAACCAUGGAAAUCUCCAGGAGAGAGAUGAGGAAACUGAGGUGAAGGAGAAUAUGUAAUUUGCUCAUGGUCCACAGCCUACAUUCUUCAGUAUGUGCAGGGAAGACCUGGUGGGAUCUUCACUAUGGGGCCAAAGCAGAUACUUCUGCCUCUGAAUGUUUUCAGAAGAGUAACUUCUGCUCCUCUCUCUCCCAACCUUGUGGAGGAGUGACCUGAUGGCUAAAUUGAGAAUAGAACUGCAAUUCAUGGUUCUCUCUCUGUAAGUAACUGUCUGCCCACAAAGCAGCUGUGUUCCACCCGGCUUCAGCUUCCAUGGGCUGAGCACACUGGGUCAGGCCCGAGGCCCACCUUGCAGGCUGAGUCUGGAGGAAAAUCUCUGUCCUUGAGGAGUGUGAGGAAGUGAUUCUGAGUAAACAGAGGUAUUCUCUAAAUUCAAACUGUUCCUUAAUACACGCCAACAUGAGGUCUUGGAGUAAAGCCACUCAUCCAUCCUGCAGUCUCUAAUGUUAUCAGCCACAUCGUUGAUCUUCUAUCUCUCUUUAUUUGAUUUCAGCACUGGGGAGAUUAUUUAUAAUUUAGGGAAGAGGAAGAAAAAGCAAUAUCAUUUAUAAGCCACCAACUUGAACAUACACAAAAUAAUUCAACAGUCAUUGCUACAAAGCAAACACACUGUUAAGGACCAGUGACACACAAAAGAGUAGAGCAGCAUUCCUGCCCUAAAGAGCCAUCAGCUACAGCUGUGACAGGCCCAGGAAUCGCAGUGAAGUGGAAGCUACCCUACGGGAUGCUGGGAGCACAGUGUGGGAGCAGGUCCACAGAGGUAGGGCAUCAGUGAGAGCAAGGAGGACGCAGGCAUCCCACGCAGAGAAGAGCCAUGUCCCAGAGCCAGGAGAAGGCGGCAAGGAGCAGUGAGGGGCUUGGUGCUGUCCAGGGACUAGUAGAGGAGAGAGAGGCCAGCCUGGGUGAGGAAGAAGCCCUUGUGCUCAUCCAAGAAACUGGAGAUGCAUUUUAAAAGCAAAGGAGUGACACUAAGGUAUACAAACAGAGACAAGUUUUAAAAGAUCUUUUUAGCAGAGAUAUGGAGGAUGAAUGUAUAGAGACAUAAGACAAGGGUCUGGAAGCACACUUGGGAGCCUGUCGACAACAAUACAAGCAAGAUGCAGGAAAGCUCUAGCAAAAUGGGGAGGGCACACAUUCAAGAGAUGCUCUGGGGGUUGGAUUAAUGUGCUGCUUUUUCCAAGAAAGAAUUUUUAUGUAAAUAGGCACGGGGUAGAGCAAGAUUUUUUUAAAAUUAGAAGUAGAAGGCAAAGAGAAAACAAGGGUAGGGACAUAAAUGGAGCCAGGAGUGAGAUUAGCACAUUAUGUUGUUUGUGUGUUUAUGUAUGUAGGUAUGUGUGUGUGCAUGUGUAUGCAUGCAUGUGUGUGUGUCUGUAUGUGUAUUUGUGUGUGUGUAUGCAUCUGUGUAUGUGUGCAUAAUGACAAGGAAGGGAUCACAGAUUUGGCUCUCAGCUCUCUAGCAGUCAACACCAACAGGGAAGAAUCCUUCACACACAUCACAAUGUUUAGAAGAUAAAAGUAAACCAGUUGUUCAGAAGAACAACUAUUGCUGAAUCUAAAGCCAAAACAAAUUUAUCUUGAGAGACCUCGCAGAGAGGAUAUGUAUAAAGUAAUGAUAUCCUCAGCAACAGUCUUAAUGCGAACAAAAUUAUUUCAAAGGAUGUUUCUCCCAAUCAUCUUUACUAUCCAACCAAACGGUAAACUGAAGAGAGUCAGCAUGGAGCAAUUGUGGCAGAAUUGGAAAUUAAAUACCACACGUUCAGAUGCUCUUGAUCUCAUCUUCUUCACAAGUUCUCUCCCAUCUAAGCAGUGGGGAUGGGGAAAACAUACAAACUGUCAAUUAAUGACAUAUUUUUUUAAAUAACAGUUUUAUUGAGAUAUAAUUUACCUAUCAUACAACUGACCUAUUGAAGAAGGCAUACAACUCAAUGGUUUUUCAUAUAUUCAGAGUUGUGCAAUCAUCACCACAAUCAAUCUGAGAACAUUUUUAUCCCUGAAACAAGAAACCCAUACCCAUAGCUGUCACUGCCUCCACCUUCCCCUCCCCCAUACCAAGGCAACCAAUUGUCUACUUCCUGUCUCUAUAAAUUGCCUAUUCUGGACAUUUCAUAUAAAUGGACUCACACAAUAUGUUUUCUGUAUGUGUGACUGGCUUCUUUGACUUCCUGCUUUCAAAGUUUUUCAGGCUGUAGUAUGUAUCAAUUCUUUAUUCCUAUUAUUGCUAAAUAAUACUCUGUUGUGACAAAGGGCAUUUUGGUCUCCUCUGGUUCCAACAGGCUCCCUGGGGUAACUGGGUCUUUCAGGCCAGGGUGCAGCUCUCCAGGUUUCCUCUUCGAGGCUUUGCACCUCCCAAGAAGGUGUUUAGGGAUGUGGGAGUGGGGGUGGUAUGGGACACCUCGCGGCCUCACAGUGCUUUUGGGUCAGUGCUGGCAGGUCUGAUUCCGAGCUCCGGACUCUCUGGUCCCAAGGCACCCAGCUGCCUUUCAUGGCAACCGUCUGCACUGCCCAUCACCCAUUCCGCUCAGAGAGCUCUCCAUUUGAACAGCCUGCCUUAACCCCUGUGGCCACGGCUGAUCCCUCGCUCCUGGCCCCUCUGAGCUCACUCACAUGGUCCAUUUUUGCACCCUGCUAACCCUGUGCCCCAUGGCGUGCAGGGGGUCCCAGAUCACCCCAUGUCCCGCAGGAGUGAGGACCGCUCAGGAGCAAUGCCGCCGUGCCGUCCCCUGCUAGCUCACAGCCAUCCAUGCAGCCGACCCCUGGGCUCUGAUGAGGCCUGCGCAGCCCCCACCCUCUGUGCUUUGCACGCCUCCCUGGGAGGCACUAGCAUCACUGUCCUCUGGGCUUCAGCCCCGUGGGAAGAAGGCAGGACUCGUGGGUCACAGGCCUCCUUUCUAUUUCAUUCCUCACUGGACCACAGAGUUGGGCCUUCUCUCCUCUCUUGGGGUUUGAGGACUUCCAUUAGGAUAUGGAUCCUGAAAUCUCUCUAGACUUGACUUACAGUAAAUUAAAUAUGCUUCUAUAGACCAAACUUUUUCCAUUCAUUCGUUGGCAGAGAUUUAGGUUGUCUCCAUGUCUUGACUAUUGCAAAUAAGGCAACGAACAUGGGACUGACGCUAUCUCUCAAGAUCCUCAUUUUCUCUGCAUGUACACCCAGUGGUGGGCUCUUACUCAGCGUUAAAAAGAAGGAGAUCCUGCCAUUGGCAACAACAUGGAAGAACCUGGAGGACAUUGUGCUAAGUGAAACAAGCCAGGCACAGAAAGACAAGCCCCACAUGACUUCAUGUACAUGUGAAAUCUUAAAAAGCCAAACUUAUAGAAACAGAGAAUAGAACGGUGGUUGCCAGGGCUGGAAGGAGGGGAAAUGGGGAGAUGUUGGUCAAGGAGUACAAAGUUUCAGUUACUGAAGAUGAAGAAGUUCUGGAGACUCAGUGCACAGCAUGGUGACUAUAGUUAAUAAUACUGUAUUAUAUACUUGGGAUUUACCAAGAGGGUACAUCUUACCUGCUCUCAUCAUAACAAACAAAAAAGAAAAGAAAAAAGACAAAAAUGGUAACUGUGAGCUAAGGAAUGUGUUAGUUUGAUUGUUGUGAUCAUUUCAGUGUGUGUGUGUGUGUGUGUGCGUGUGUAUAGAAAUGAAGUUGUAUACCUUAAAGAUACACAAUUUUAUUUGUCAAUUAUACCUCAAUAAAGCUAAAAAUUUCAAUAUUUAGCCCCAGCAACCCUGGCUUUUGAUAUGUUAUUGGUAUUUUAACAAAUUUAAGGAAAAAUUUCUUUGGAGACUAAUCUUUUUAGGAACUCAACAAUCCUAUUUUGGUAGUUAAAUUGUGA
Molecule: long non-coding RNA, 4088 nt
Filed under: Homo sapiens (human)
Lineage: Eukaryota; Metazoa; Chordata; Mammalia; Primates; Hominidae
Description: HSALNT0365826
Source: RNAcentral